UAUGGCCACAUCAUGUCAAAACACUUAUUUCUGUAUGAUCACUGUAGUUAAGUAAUGUUGAGCCUGGUCAGUCCCUAGAUGGGUGAUCGCUUGGGAAUAGCAGGUGCUGUAAG
This is a non-coding RNA of Acanthosepion pharaonis, 113 nucleotides long. The record is from the annotation of a GenBank genome assembly. Lineage: Eukaryota; Metazoa; Mollusca; Cephalopoda; Sepiida; Sepiidae.